RNAcentral lists this transfer RNA (72 nucleotides) under Ignavibacteria bacterium. RNAcentral's name for it is "tRNA-Arg". It matches the Rfam family "tRNA". From Rfam's summary of the family: Transfer RNA (tRNA) molecules are approximately 80 nucleotides in length. Their secondary structure includes four short double-helical elements and three loops (D, anti-codon, and T loops). The record is from RNAcentral. Lineage: Bacteria; Pseudomonadati; Ignavibacteriota; Ignavibacteria.
GCCCCUGUGGUGUAAAGGAUAGCACAAAGGUCUUCGGAACCUUUGGUCAGGGUUCGAAUCCUUGCAGGGGUA